CUCGAUAAUCCACGUAUACCCAACCUUCUCUAGAUAACUCAGCAUGUGUACUGCCGUUGUAAGCAUACCUUUAAAAGAUAAGUAUGCCGCCAUGACUAAAUAAUUAGCCCAUGUACAUCAGGUCAAGGUGCAGCCAAUAAGAAGGUGAUGAUGGGUUACAACCCUAAAAAAGACUAUCAACUAAGAAAUUAAAAAUCUUACGAAAGUGGACUUGGCCGUAAUUAAUUUAUAAAUUAAAAAAAUGAAUAUAACCUAAGACAUGCACACAUCGCCCGUCACUCUACCCCAAAGGCUAGAUAAGUCGUAACAAAGUAGGUGUAAUGGAAAUUGCACCUGUCGAAGUAUAGCAUAUAUAAUGCUUUUUACUUACACUAAAAAUAAAGUUAGACAACUUACUCCGCACAAUAUAUAAAAUCUUUUAACUAAUCAAUUAAUAGAAACAACUAAAUAAUAAAUUAAAUAAAAAGUACAGAAAUGGAAAUAAUAAUAAAUAAAAGUAACUAUUAACAAUUGUACCUUGUGCAUUAUGGUUUUACAAGAAAACAAUUAAACACAUAAAUCCCGAAUUCUAUAUGAGAUGUCAAACUGCUGUUAAGAACCUACUAUUAGCUGUAGAAAAAGCUUUAAAAGACAGUUUGACAGAGGCUACAUACCAUCCGCAUAAGAAUAUAGCUGGUUUUCAACAAACAUUAUACAUUAAGACAUAUAAUUACAUUAUAGUGUAAUAUUAUUGAGGAUAAGCCCAAUAACCCAAGCAAUACAUGAAACCAAUCCAACAAAUUAUAUAGGCCUAAAAACAGCCAAAUAAAAUACUUUACCGUAAAAUAUGUAGAUAUAAUAUAUACUGUAAACAUGCCAAACAGAGUUGAAAUAAUGAAUAAACUAAAUACUUCAAUUAUAAUAUGUAAAAAUAAGUAUUAAAUAAUAAAUAAAGACUAUAACCUAGAAUAAACAACACCUAAAACAACAAUAAUUAAUUAAGGAACUCGGCAAACAAUUAUUUCGACUGUUUAACAAAAACAUUGUCUCAUGAAUAAAAUAUGAGAUAA
RNAcentral lists this ribosomal RNA (1049 nucleotides) under Amynthas sp. SS167X. RNAcentral's name for it is "partial 12S ribosomal RNA". The record is from RNAcentral. Lineage: Eukaryota; Metazoa; Annelida; Clitellata; Crassiclitellata; Megascolecidae.